This 2211-nucleotide small RNA is filed under the name Pongo abelii (Sumatran orangutan). Its description in RNAcentral is "processed transcript". The record is from RNAcentral. Lineage: Eukaryota; Metazoa; Chordata; Mammalia; Primates; Hominidae.
GCCUUCGGGACAGCGGAAGAGCAGUGUCGCGCCAUGGCCAGGGCCCGCAGGCUGGAGCUGGCCGAGGCUCUGGCGCUGGGGCCAGGCUGGAGGCAUGCCUGCUAUGCGCUCCUGCACGCGCCGGACCCUGGAAUUCUCUUUGGCCGCCUCCCUCUGCGCUACGCCAUACUGAUGCAGAUGCGCUUCGAUGGGCGCCUGGGCUUCCCUGGCGGAUUCGUGGACUCGCAAGACAGCAGCCUGGAGGACGGGCUGAACCGUGGUCUGCUGGAACAGCUGGGCGAGGCGGCGGCCGCCUUCCGCGUGGAGCGCCCUGACUACCGCAGCUCCCACGCCGGAUCAGGGCCACGCGUUGUGGCCCACUUCUAUUCCAAGUCUCUGACGCUCGAGCAGCUGUCGGCUGUGGAGGCCAGCGCAACAGGCGCCAAGGACCACGGGCUGGAGGUGCUGGGCCUGGUGCGAGUGCCCCUGUAUACCCUGCAUGAUGGUGUGGGAGGCCUGCCCAUCUUUCUGGAGAAUUGCUUUAUUGGUGCUGCCCGGGAGCAGUUACUGGAUACCCUCCAGGACUUGGGAGUGGUGGAAGCUGGUGCUUUCUCAGGCCUUCAGAUCCCAGUUCGUCUGAGGCAACCCUCUGUGGACUCAGGGAACCUGAGAUGAGGACUUUGGUACAAGGAAGGGAAUGUUUUCUCUUCUGGAUCUAAAGAUGAUACCAAAUUAAACGAAGACAUGUAUAUCAUAUGUUUUGAGCAGAGGACCUUCCAAAUCAUGGGAUCAGGGGCAAAAAUCCACAGCUCAUCCCAGGGGCCCUGGCAGGUUCUCAGAGCCUACCCCUUCCUUGUACAUUUGCACACAGCCUUGUAACCACCAGGCAUGCAUAUGUACAAUGUGACCACACACAGCCUGACAUCUUUCACCUAUCAAGUCCAAUUUAACCAGGAAUUGGCAUUUGUUACCAUACCCUGCCUCUUGCUUUGCAGAGAGCUUCUACAGCAAGGGUGAGUCCUUCCCACAGUCCUCCAUGGCUGCUCUUUAGGGUCUAGCCCAGCCCAUGUUUUUUGGGAAGGAUAGAGAAGCAGAGGACCCUCUUUGCUUUACUGAAAGUAGCCAUGCCCUUGCUGGAGGGUUCACCACAGCAAUUGGUGGGAGAGGGUCUUAACCGAUCUCCAACACUUUUCUUCUCCUGAAACUGAGAAGGGGUAAGGAAGUAGCUAGGUCCCCUUGGACGGAGCAUAGACGUGAGACCUGUGAGUACUGGUGUCUCUCCUUCAGAGCUUUCAUCUUUGGUUCGCUGUAGACUCUGGGACUAUCAGAAGAGAACUGACCCAUACCUGUCUAGCCCUGCCCUGCCAAAAAAAGAGCCUCCCAUUAAAGAGGAGUUAGAGCUGGGCCUUGAGGCUCUUCACUUCUUUCAACAGAUAUUUAAUACGUACCUACUAAAUGCCAGGUACUAUAAAAGGUAUAGAGAGCCAUCCUUGCUCUCCAAGACUCCAGGGAAGGGAUGGGCAAACAUUUUCUUAAAAGCCAGAUAGCAAAUAUUUUAAGCUUUGUAAACUACAUAGUUUUUAAAAAAAUAUUUUCUAACAUUGACUAAUAAAAAUUGCCUAUGUUUACUGUGUACAAAAUGAUGCUUUCAAAUAUGUAUACAUUAUAGCGUGGCUAAAUUGAGCUAACUAACAUAUGCAUUACCUCACAUAUUUAUCAUUUUUCAUGGUAAGAACACAAAAUUUACUCUUAGCAAUUUUCACAAAUAUAAUGCAGUUUAUUAACUGUAGUCACCAUUUGUGCAACAGAUCUUUUGAACUUAUUUCUCCUAACUGAAGUUUUAUAUUCUUUGAUUAAUAUCUUCUCAAUUACUGUUCCCUACCCCCAACCCCUGGUAACCAUUAUUUUACUCUCUGUUUCUAUGUGUUUAACUUUUUUAGAUGCCAUAUAUAAGUGAGGUCAUUUGGUGUUUUCACCUGGCUUAUUUCAUUUAACAUGUCAUCUAGGUUAAUCCAUAUUGUCACAAAUGACAGGAUUUCCUUCUAUUUUAAGGCCAAAUAGUAUUCCAUUGUGUAUAUAUACCACAUUUUCUUUAUUCAUUUAUCUGUUGAUCUACACUUAGGUUGAUUCCACAUCUUGGCUAUUGUGAAUAGUGUUGCAGUGAACAUGGGAGUGCAGAUAUCUCUCCAGAUCCUAAUUUCAAUUCCUUUGAAUAAAUAUCCUGUAAUAGGA